AACGAACGCUGGCGGCAUGCCUAACACAUGCAAGUCGAACGAGACCUUCGGGUCUAGUGGCGCACGGGUGCGUAACGCGUGGGAACCUGCCCUUAGGUUCGGAAUAACUCCCCGAAAGGGGUGCUAAUACCGGAUAAUGUCUUCGGACCAAAGAUUUAUCGCCUUUGGAUGGGCCCGCGUUGGAUUAGCUAGUUGGUAGGGUAAAAGCCUACCAAGGCGACGAUCCAUAGCUGGUCUGAGAGGAUGAUCAGCCACACUGGGACUGAGACACGGCCCAGACUCCUACGGGAGGCAGCAGUGGGGAAUAUUGGACAAUGGGCGAAAGCCUGAUGCAGCAAUGCCGCGUGAGUGAUGAAGGCCUUAGGGUUGUAAAGCUCUUUUACCCGGGAUGAUAAUGACAGUACCGGGAGAAUAAGCUCCGGCUAACUACGUG
Molecule: ribosomal RNA, 433 nt
Filed under: uncultured bacterium
Lineage: Bacteria
Description: partial 16S ribosomal RNA
Rfam family: Bacterial small subunit ribosomal RNA
Source: RNAcentral